CAAGGACCCGGUGAAAAUCCGGGUGGCUCUUCCGGCCGCCGAUCCGCCGGACAACC
RNAcentral lists this non-coding RNA (56 nucleotides) under Rhizobium sp. RU36D. RNAcentral's name for it is "sul1 RNA". It matches the Rfam family "sul1 RNA". Lineage: Bacteria; Pseudomonadati; Pseudomonadota; Alphaproteobacteria; Hyphomicrobiales; Rhizobiaceae. The record is from Rfam by way of RNAcentral.